UUCAACAUUUGAAACAGACUAGCUGUUACUGGAUGUGAAAAUGGACAUGUAUGCUAGAUAAAUUACUAUCCAGUAAAACAGGGUGAGUCGAGUGAUGUCAAAUCGAGAUAGGAUUAUUUUCGGAGCCACCGGUGCCACUGGGAUAGCCGCAAUGGCAUGGCGGGCAUGGUACCCAUGGUUACUGGAUGAUCUGACGACGAUUAGAUCAACAAAUCGCCAAGCUACUAAGAGUAUUCAAGACGCUGAAAACAAAAGAUUUAUCAUCGAUAUGUUCGAGGAACAAGUGAAGCGCGUACCCAAGAAACCAUUCAUUCUCUUCGAGGACAAAAUCUACACGUAUGAAUUUGUGAAUACUAUGGCUAACAGAGUUGCCAAUCUGGCUUUGACAUGGGGCCUGAAGCAAGGGGAUACCGUGGCGACAGUCAUCUAUAAUCAGCCCGCCUUUGUGUGGACGCUUCUCGGCCUCCUAAAGCUGGGACUGGUGGACGCCUUUAUCAACUACCACACCAAGUCCAGGCCACUGCUCCACUCUAUUCUGGUGUGCGACGCUAAGGUCCUUAUCAUAGGGGACGGUGACGAACUUUUGGAAUCUAUCGAUACCAUCAGAGAUAAACUCCCGGUUGACAUGCCGAUAUACGUAUACGGAAAAGGAGAUUCCAAACUUCCAGGGGGUUAUCUUUCAAUGGACUUGGAACUGCUCAGAGUUCAUCCCGCAGAAAUAUGUAAGACUGUCCGGUCUGAGCUGUCAUUGAAAUCUCUCGUCUGUUUUAUCUACACUUCCGGUACUACAGGUUUACCCAAGCCCGCAAUUAUCAACCAGGCCAAGGCGAUAGGUCUCUCCAAGUUCUACCAACAGAUAUGGUAUAACGAGGCUGACACCGUCUAUGUCGUCACACCUCUCUAUCACAGCGCCGCCUGUGGGCACGGACUCUUCAACACAAUUGACGUCGGUGCAACGCUCGUGCUUCGCCAGAGGUUCUCGGCUCGUUACUACUGGGAGGAUGUUAGGAAGUACAAAGUCACAGUACUGCCGUAUAUCGGCGAGCUCUGUCGGUACCUCCUGAGAGUUCCACAAAAUGACCUGGAUGGUGUCCACUCUGUCCGUGUUGCCGUAGGUAAUGGCCUGAGACCGGACAUAUGGAACGAGUACCGGACACGAUUCAAGAUUCCGUGGAUCGUCGAGUUUUUUGGUGCGACUGAGGGAACGACAACCUUUAUCAACGUCACAGGCCAAGUCGGCGCCAUAGGCAGAUGGUCUCCGUUGAUGCGAGUAGCGGCAAAAGGGAGAUUUGGUGUCACGAGUCAUGUAAUCAAGUAUGAUGUUGUCAAUAAUAUACCGGUUCGAAACGACAACGGCAGAUGUAUCCCAAUCAAAAAAGGAGAGGAAGGCGUUCCUAUCUCCGGCAUCCCACCAUCGUAUUCCGGCUUCUACAAGGGGGACAUAGAGGCCAGUCAGAAAAAGAUCCUCAUCGACGUAUUUGAAGAAGGGGACCGCUACUUCAACUUUGGAGACUUAGUGUACAUGGACGCUCACUAUAACCUGUACUUUAGAGACAGAGUGGGCGAUACUUUUAGAUGGAAAGGGGAAAAUGUUUCAACACGGGAAGUGUGUGACGUCAUCAGUACACUUCCGUUUACACAGGACGUGAAUGUAUACGGAGUGCGUGUCCCCGGUAAGUGUGUGACGUCAUCGGUACACUUUCGUUUACACAGGACGUGAAUGUAUACGGAGUGCGCGUCCUCGGUAGGUGUGUGACGUCAUCGGUACAAUUCCGUUUUCACAGGACGUGAAUGUAUACGGAGUGCGCGUCCCCGGUAAGUGUGUGACGUCAUCAGUACACUUCCAUUUACACAGGACGUGAAUGUGUACGGAGUGUGCGUCCUCGGUAAGUGUGUGACGUCAUCAGUACACUUCCAUCUACACAGGACGUGAAUGUGUUCUGAGUGCGCGUCCCCGGUAAGUGGGUGACGUCAUCAGUACACUUCCAUGUACGCAGGACGUGAAUGUGUAUGGAGUGCUCGUCCCCGGUAAGUGUGUGACGUCAUCAGUAAACGUCCCCGAUUCAGACGGACGCGCUGGAAUGGCUGCUAUUUCUUUGAAGGGCGAAAAAGACGUACAACCAGAAAUGCUCC
Molecule: unclassified non-coding RNA, 2133 nt
Filed under: Mizuhopecten yessoensis (Yesso scallop)
Lineage: Eukaryota; Metazoa; Mollusca; Bivalvia; Pectinida; Pectinidae
Description: very long-chain acyl-CoA synthetase-like, transcript variant X3
Source: RNAcentral